This 253-nucleotide ribosomal RNA is filed under the name uncultured bacterium. RNAcentral's name for it is "partial 16S ribosomal RNA". It matches the Rfam family "Bacterial small subunit ribosomal RNA", at positions 524 to 776 of the family's 1533-position model. The record is from RNAcentral.
UACGGAGGGGGCUAGCGUUGUUCGGAAUUACUGGGCGUAAAGCGCUCGUAGGCGGCUUUGCAAGUUAGAGGUGAAAGCCCGGGGCUCAACUCCGGAAUUGCCUUUAAGACUGCAUCGCUAGAAUUGUGGAGAGGUAAGUGGAAUUCCGAGUGUAGAGGUGAAAUUCGUAGAUAUUCGGAAGAACACCAGUGGCGAAGGCGACUUACUGGACACAUAUUGACGCUGAGGUGCGAAAGCGUGGGGAGCAAACAGG